UGGCAUGCCUGGAGAUAAGUUUCAUGA
Molecule: non-coding RNA, 27 nt
Filed under: Mus musculus (house mouse)
Lineage: Eukaryota; Metazoa; Chordata; Mammalia; Rodentia; Muridae
Source: RNAcentral